Molecule: ribosomal RNA, 490 nt
Filed under: uncultured bacterium
Lineage: Bacteria
Description: partial 16S ribosomal RNA
Rfam family: Bacterial small subunit ribosomal RNA
Source: RNAcentral
GUGAACGCUGGCGGUAGGCCUAACACAUGCAAGUCGAACGGCAGCACAGUAAGAGCUUGCUCUUACGGGUGGCGAGUGGCGGACGGGUGAGGAAUACAUCGGAAUCUACUUUUUCGUGGGGGAUAACGUAGGGAAACUUACGCUAAUACCGCAUACGACCUACGGGUGAAAGCAGGGGAUCUUCGGACCUUGCGCGAUUGAAUGAGCCGAUGUCGGAUUAGCUAGUUGGCGGGGUAAAGGCCCACCAAGGCGACGAUCCGUAGCUGGUCUGAGAGGAUGAUCAGCCACACUGGAGCUGAGACACGGUCCAGACUCCUACGGGAGGCAGCAGUGGGGAAUAUUGGACAAUGGGCGCAAGCCUGAUCCAGCCAUACCGCGUGGGUGAAGAAGGCCUUCGGGUUGUAAAGCCCUUUUGUUGGGAAAGAAAAGCAGCAGGUUAAUACCCCGCUGUUCUGACGGUACCCAAAGAAUAAGCACCGGCUAACUUCGU